This 253-nucleotide ribosomal RNA is filed under the name uncultured bacterium. Its description in RNAcentral is "partial 16S ribosomal RNA". It matches the Rfam family "Bacterial small subunit ribosomal RNA", at positions 526 to 779 of the family's 1533-position model. The record is from RNAcentral.
CGUAGGUGGCAAGCGUUGUCCGGAAUUAUUGGGCGUAAAGGAUGCGUAGGCGGCUCUUUAAGUGGGAUGUGAAAUCCCCAGGCUUAACCUGGGAAUGGCAUUCCAAACUGGAGAGCUAGAGUGCAGGAGAGGAAAGUGGAAUUCCCAGUGUAGCGGUGAAAUGCGUAGAGAUUGGGAGGAACACCAGUGGCGAAGGCGACUUUCUGGACUGUAACUGACGCUGAGGCAUGAAAGCGUGGGAGCAAACAGGAUU